AUUUCCAUGAAAGGUAGAAGUGAAGUAUCUGAGUUUAUACUUGGAAGGUCGCUGUUCGGUCAGGUGUUAUUGCAGCUCAAGCACAGAGCUGUGGGCCUGUUGGUUCACUUUACUGGUGUAAGGCAGGAGCUGAGUCUGCAGCUUUUAGGUCUCACUGGAUCUCCUUCUUCAGCUUCUUCAACUCCUGGGCUAGGUACAAUUUUAGCUCUGAGAUGAAUUCAGCUAUUGCUCUCUUACAUCACGGAAGUUGGAGGCUUCGAGGUAGUGAAAAAAGUCCAUAUCAUCAAAGCUAUAGUUUUUCCAGUAGUCAUGUAUGGAUACGAGAGUUGGACUAUAAAGAAGGCUGAGUGCCGAAGAACAGAUGCUUUUAAACUGUGGUGUUGGAGAAGAUUCUUGAGAGUCCCUUGGACUGCAAGGAGAUCAAACCAGUCAAUCCUAAAAAAUCAAUCCUGAAUAUUCAUUGGAAGGACUGAUGUUGAAGCUGAAGCUCCAAUACUUUGGCCACCUGAUGCGAAAAACUGACUCAUUAGAAAAGACCUUGAUGCUGGGAAAGAUUGAAGGCAUGAGGAGAAGGGAACAACAGAGGAUGAGAUGGUUGGAUGGCAUCACCUACUCAACAGACAUGAGUUUGAGCAAGCUCUGGGAGAUGCUGAAGGACAGGGAAACCUAGCAUGCUGCAGUCCAUGGGGUUGCAAGGAGUAAGACAUGACUGAGCGACUGAACAGCAACAAAAAUGAUAAAUAGACACUACAACAUUGGAUAUGCAUGUCUUAUUCUUGACUUUAAUUAGGACGGCUUCUGAAGUCUCAUUUUUAAAUAUAAUUCUUGCUGUAGGUUUUUAAUGACCAUCCUUUACCUUUAGUUCAGUAAAGUGUAUAAUUUUUAAAUGAAUGAGUGUUGAAUUUUAUAAAAAUUUUUUCUGUGUCUAUUAAGAUCAUUAUAUUUUUAUUCAAUCUAGUUUUGUAGAAUACUACUUUGAUAUCUACCUUUUCACCCUGAAGUUUACUAAAAAUGUCAUUUUUUAAAUGAUUAUAGAAUGUUAUUAAAUAUUCUUCUGCAUCUAUUUAAAGUAUCACAUUUUUUUUCUUUAUUUUGUAAAUAUGGUGUACACCUCAAUAGAUUUUAUGAUGUUUUCUUACACUCCCAGGACAAACCCUACUUGAUCAUGAUUAUUAUUAUAUAAACUGCCAAAUUUGAUUUGCUAACAUUUUAUUUAACAAUUCACCACCUUAGGAUCAUAAGAAUAAUU
Long non-coding RNA from Bos taurus (domestic cattle), 1249 nucleotides. NCBI's taxonomy places the organism in Eukaryota, Metazoa, Chordata, Mammalia, Artiodactyla, Bovidae. The record is from Ensembl.